GCCUUGUGGCCUUGUCUCCCCUCAACAUCCAGGGUUGUCAUGAGGCCCAGUGUGGAUAUGGGAAUUCUUCUGGGAACUGGGCUUACAGAUGGGCUUCAGGAGAACCUCUGGUCCAGGUUGGAUUGUAAGAUAUGGAGACACCACUGCAGGAUGUGGGGGACACCACUGCAGGAUGUGGGGGACACCACUGCAAGAUGUGGGGGCACACCGCUAGAGACAGCCCUACAGACUGCUCUGAGCUAUGUGGACAAACCAGUGUUUUAGCAUCCCAGGACUGGAGCUGGAAAGGCGCUGGAAGAGGACUCUCACAGCCUGGCUGGAGCCUGAGGGGACAAGAGAAGGGACUGAGGCGGACAUCCAGCACCGGGCCACCCCCUCCGCCUCUAGCUUGCAGAAUUACACAAAGAAGCAAAGACCAUACAAGAAUGAUCGGAUGUCCAAGUGGGAAAAUUCUGCAAACAACAUGUUGGGGUUUUGUCUAAGCUCCACCACACACCUACCUGGCAAUAGCCAGGUAUGCCCCGCCCCAGAGAUCUGGCCCCACUAUAAGAGGGGCUACUUGUUCCUCCUUUCCCUCUUUGCUCUCUGCUCUCCCACACUCUCUCACCUCUCUGCCCCUGGGGCUCUUCCCCCCUCCACAUGGUCAUGGCCGGCCUCCACUCUCUCUCUAUUUUCUCUCUCUCUAUCUCUCUCUCUCUCUUUUUUUUCUCUUUCCCUCUCUCUCUGCCUCUCUCUACCACUAACUCCCAUCCCCUACUCUGAAUAAACUCUAUUCUAUACCA
Apodemus sylvaticus (European woodmouse) is the source of this 782-nucleotide long non-coding RNA. RefSeq lists it as uncharacterized. Lineage: Eukaryota; Metazoa; Chordata; Mammalia; Rodentia; Muridae. The record is from RefSeq and is a predicted model, not a curated record. The transcript is spliced from 2 exons.